Long non-coding RNA from Ficedula albicollis (Collared flycatcher), 463 nucleotides. RefSeq lists it as uncharacterized. NCBI's taxonomy places the organism in Eukaryota, Metazoa, Chordata, Aves, Passeriformes, Muscicapidae. The record is from RefSeq and is a predicted model, not a curated record. The transcript has 3 exons.
AUUUGAUGGCAUCAGUGAGAUUUAUCACAUAAUUCCCACUUGGAAUUCAUGGGACCCUGGCUGGAAUUAUUUCAGGAUCCACAGUAAAGGAUUUGGGGCUGGAAUUUGGCAUUUUUGGGAAAAUUGGGAAUUUUCCCUCCCCUUCUGACAGAUCCUCCCUUUUCCCCCAGGAUAUGGCACCUGGAGCACCGGGGCCACCGGCACCCAGGGUUCCUACGCCACGAACGCGACCAGCUGGCAAGGCUACGAGGGCUAUGAGUUCUGCACCCCCAAAUUCCCUUGCAGUGAUCCCGGGGCUUUUCCUGCUGGGAUCCCACAUCUCGAAUUCUUCAUUUCCCUUUUGAAUGAUCCCCUAAUUAGUUGAUUAAUGACUAAUUAACCCAUUCAUCCUCAGGCUAUGAGGGUUAUGAAUUCUAAACUCCCCAGAUUUCCUUGGAAUGAUCCUGGGGCUUUUCCUGCUGGG